RNAcentral lists this ribosomal RNA (452 nucleotides) under uncultured bacterium. RNAcentral's name for it is "bacterial SSU rRNA". It matches the Rfam family "Bacterial small subunit ribosomal RNA", at positions 340 to 786 of the family's 1533-position model. The record is from RNAcentral.
UACGGGAGGCAGCAGUGGGGAAUAUUGCACAAUGGGCGCAAGCCUGAUGCAGCCAUGCCGCGUGUAUGAAAAAGGCCUUCGGGUUGUAAAGUACUUUCAGUCGUGAGGAAGGUGUUAAGGUUAAUAACCUUAGCAAUUGACGUUAGCGACAGAAGAAGCACCGGCUAACUCCGUGCCAGCAGCCGCGGUAAUACGGAGGGUGCGAGCGUUAAUCGGAAUUACUGGGCGUAAAGGGCACGCAGGCGGUUAAUUAAGUUGGAUGUGAAAUCCCCGGGCUUAACCUGGGAAUGGCAUUCAAGACUGGUUAGCUAGAGUCUUGUAGAGGGGGUAGAAUUCCAUGUGUAGCGGUGAAAUGCGUAGAGAUGUGGAGGAUACCGGUGGCGAAGGCGGCCCCUGGACAAAGACUGACGCUCAUGUGCGAAAGCGUGGGGAGCAAACAGGGAUUAGAUACC